UGCGUAGGCGGUUUUGUAAGUUUGGUGUGAAAUCUCCCGGCUCAACUGGGAGGGUGCGCCGAAAACUGCAAGGCUGGAGUGUGGGAGAGGUAGGCGGAAUUCCUGGUGUAGCGGUGAAAUGCGUAGAUAUCAGGAGGAACACCUGUGGUGUAGACGGCUUACUGGACCAUAACUGACGCUGAGGCACGAAAGCGUGGGGAGCAAAACA
Molecule: ribosomal RNA, 208 nt
Filed under: uncultured bacterium
Lineage: Bacteria
Description: partial 16S ribosomal RNA
Rfam family: Bacterial small subunit ribosomal RNA
Source: RNAcentral